CGGGUGAGUCUGCAGCAGAGCGCCUCGCGGGGGCGGGAAGGAGAGAGAGAGCGGGGGCUGCUGUGCGGAGUGCCGCCUCGGGAGCGGGCAGCGCGAGGGAAACUCCUCGCCCCGUUCGUGAGCCGAAGGGACCGCUUUGCGCUAGCGAGAAGCGGGUGUUCCUGGCUCGUAACCAUCCCCUCGUCGUGGUGAGAGCGCUACCGCCGGUUGAUACUGAAUCAACUCCACGAGUGUUUACUCUCUGCAAAAUCCCAGCAGAACGAGUUAUCAGAAAAUGGAUGAAAGAAUGCCCUCUAGAGGCAGAAUUCAGCUGAAUAAAAUUCCCAGAUACAGAGAAGAAGAAUUGGAGAACAUAAACAUUACAGCCAUAUGGAGAAGAGUUGGCAUUGCUCAAGCCUCGUGUAAAUACAAACAAGUUAUCUUGACUGGAUACCACCAUACUGUGAAUUUGGAUGAUCAGGAGUAGCAGAGCUUGAACAUUUUGUACAAGUAAAGUUUACUGAGUUCAUCUACCAUCAACUCCAGGAGCAUUAAAUUUCACUUUAGUUAAUUAUCUAAAUUACCCAUAUGAAUCAGAUUGGAGAAUUUGAGAAUCUUCCCAUAUGGUCGAAUGUCC
RNAcentral lists this long non-coding RNA (616 nucleotides) under Gallus gallus (chicken). Lineage: Eukaryota; Metazoa; Chordata; Aves; Galliformes; Phasianidae. The record is from RNAcentral.